UAAAACUUAAAGAAAAUAAUCUAUACAGCAUG
Molecule: non-coding RNA, 32 nt
Filed under: Mus musculus (house mouse)
Lineage: Eukaryota; Metazoa; Chordata; Mammalia; Rodentia; Muridae
Source: RNAcentral